RNAcentral lists this ribosomal RNA (506 nucleotides) under uncultured bacterium. RNAcentral describes it as "partial 16S ribosomal RNA". It matches the Rfam family "Bacterial small subunit ribosomal RNA", at positions 29 to 523 of the family's 1533-position model. The record is from RNAcentral.
AGUGAACGCUGGCGGUAGGCCUAACACAUGCAAGUCGAACGGCAGCACAGGAGAGCUUGCUCUCUGGGUGGCGAGUGGCGGACGGGUGAGGAAUACAUCGGAAUCUACUCUGUCGUGGGGGAUAACGUAAGGAAACUUACGCUAAUACCGCAUACGACCUACGGGUGAAAGCAGGGGAUCUUCGGACCUUGCGCGAUUGAAUGAGCCGAUGUCGGAUUAGCUAGUUGGCGGGGUAAAGGCCCACCAAGGCGACGAUCCGUAGCUGGUCUGAGAGGAUGAUCGGCCACACUGGAACGGAGACACGGUCCAGACUCCUACGGGAGGCAGCAGUGGGGAAUAUUGGACAAUGGGCGCAAGCCUGAUCCAGCCAUACCGCGUGGGUGAAGAAGGCCUUCGGGUUGUAAAGCCCUUUUGUUGGGAAAGAAAUCCAGCUGGUUAAUACCCGGUUGGGAUGACGGUACCCAAAGAAUAAGCACCGGCUAACUUCGUGCCAGCAGCCGCCGUAA